CAGAAAUGGACAGAUCGUGUAUAGUCUUCCGAACUACACAGCUCCACCUGUCGCUUCUGAUGUCCCUGUUGUUAAGGCCCACGCUCCACGAAAGAGAAAGUUCUGCACAGAACCAGACGAGAGCAAGCCUUACGUCAAGAAGCCUCCAAACGCUUUCAUGAUAUAUCGCACGGAACAGAGGCCAACAGUUGCGGCAGAGCUGCAGAAGAGGGAUUGUGCAGCUAUCAACAAAGUCAUCGGACAGAUGUGGAGGUCACUGCCCAAAGAGGAGCAGGCGAUAUACUAUGGACAUGCAGACAGGGAGAGGCGGCUCCACGCUCAGAUCUUCCCCGAGUGGUCAGCCUGUGAAAAUUACG
Molecule: long non-coding RNA, 356 nt
Organism: Platichthys flesus (European flounder)
Lineage: Eukaryota; Metazoa; Chordata; Actinopteri; Pleuronectiformes; Pleuronectidae
Exons: 3
Source: RefSeq, a predicted model, not a curated record